Molecule: ribosomal RNA, 497 nt
Filed under: uncultured bacterium
Lineage: Bacteria
Description: partial 16S ribosomal RNA
Rfam family: Bacterial small subunit ribosomal RNA
Source: RNAcentral
UCUUCCCCCUUUCUUCGUGCCUAAUACAUGCAAGUCGAGCGAACAGACGAGGAGCUUGCUCUUCUGAUGUUAGCGGCGGACGGGUGAGUAACACGUGGAUAACCUAUCUAUAAGACUGGGAUAACUUCGGGAAACCGGAGCUAAUACCGGAUAAUAUCUUGAACCGCAUGGUUCAAUAGUGAAAGACGGUAUUGCUGUCACUUAUAGAUGGAUCCGCGCCGCAUUAGCUAGUUGGUAAGGUAACGGCUUACCAAGGCAACGAUGCGUAGCCGACCUGAGAGGGUGAUCGGCCACACUAGAACUGAGACACGGUCCAGACUCCUACGGGAGGCAGCAGUAGGGAAUCUUCCGCAAUGGGCGAAAGCUUGACGGAGCAACGCCGCGUGAGUGAUGACGGUCUUCGGAGCGUAAAACUCUGUUAUUAGGGAAGAACAAAUGUGUAAGUAACUAUGCACGUCUUGACGGUACCUAAUCAGAAAGCCACGGCUAACUACGUG